GACCCCCCUGUGAUCGUCUUCUUCGAAACCCCAUCAGAUGUGUCUUCUUCAACACAAAAAAUGGAGAGCAAUUAAAAACAACGGAGCCGUUACCUAGGCUUCAUCUUCUUCAUGGAGAACACAAAAAAAGCUUAGGACUUCUACACCCAAACCCGACAGCCACCCCUGAUGCCGGCGACCCCUCACGCCGAACUCCAUCUCCAGCCACCUUCACAGAACCAACCCACCGAAAAACACCAUCGCCGCCCGUCUCCACCAGCUGCUAUAACAGCAGCGACGAACACACUAGACACACGACCACCACACCCAGAACACCCUAAAAGCCCGCUGCUGCUCCAUCCUCAUUCAUGCCAAGAACCCGACGUCCACACUCACUCACACACACAGAAACGAGGAGGAGUGGAAAACGAGAGGAGCAAAAAAUUCGAGGUUCCGGUCGAAAAUUCUGUUCUUAGGCUUUGUUGUUCUUUCUCGUUGGAUUAUAGGAUCAAGGACUGUGUAUUUGUGAUUUCUUUCCACUGUUACAUUGAAGAACUCUUUUAACGGAGCUUGUGCUUUCCAAGUUUUUGGUUCGAAUUAUCGCUGUCUACCAAGUGCCUUGAAGUUCAGAUUUCCGUCGUUUGUUUUGUCACUGAAUUUCGUGGCUUGCUUUUCGUGCUUCAGUAGUUGUGUUUCAUUUUUCUUUCGCACAUCAAUUGAUUCAAAUUUCAUCUUCAGAUUUGGUUAUUUAUGUCUCAGCUUGAGUUUUUACAAAUUAAAGUUGCUGGUUCGAGCUAUGCCGUUAAGUUUGUGUUGGAAUUCUGAAUCGGAGUGUGCUUGGGUUCGUCGGUUCAUGGUAGUUCUACUUCGGGUUCAAGCAUUACUUUUAGCUCAUAUCUAAUCAACGUCGAAAAGGUCCUCGUUCUCGUUGAGGUUCAACUCUUCAAUCCUCUACUUAUUUCAUUGUAGCUGAAUGUUAAUCGCUUGUUUGGUGAUUUGGUUCGGUGAUUUGUUUGGUUAUUAUUUCCGGUUUUGAGUUUGUUCAUGUAGUUAUCUAAUCGCAUGCUAUUCGAAUUGGUUAUAGCUGAACAUAAUUUUGUCACAAUAUAGAAAUUGGGUUGCUAUUCUUCAACUGAACUACGUCAAAUUAGAUUAAAGGGGCUCUGGUGAGCAUUUCAUGUGACCCUGCCAUAAUUUUGUAUAAUAAUAAUAAAAAUAAACAUGUGCAUUUCAUGUGACCCUGCCAUAAUUUUGUAUAAUAAUAAUAAAAAUAAACAUGUUAUAAAUCCGGAUGUACAUUUCAUGUGACCCGACUUUAAUUUCCAAUAAUAUUUAAUAAUUAAACAUGUCGUGAACCGUGAGCGCAUUUCAUGUAGCAUGGUUUACGAUGUGUUUUCAAAAAUAAGCAAGUGUAUGACGAUCAUGAAUUUUCCUAAAAACAUUAAAAGAAGAUAAAAAAUUUAAAAAUGCACGUAGGUUUUAAAAUGUGUAAUUAAUCAGAUAAUUAGGCCAAUAAUAAUAGUUGAGCAACCGUGCUAGAACCACGGAACCCGGGAAUGCCUAACACCUUCUCUCGGGUUAACAGAAUUCCUUACCCAGAUUUUUGUGUUCGCAGACCAUAAAUAAGAGUCAACUUCCUCGAUUCGGGAUUUAAACCGGUGACUUGAGACACCAUAAAUCACUACAAGAAAAAGCCUUAUUUAUGACCAACUUUUAGGGACGAGUUAAUAAUCUCGUCAGCAAAAAUAUAUUUAUUGGGACGAGAUAAUAUUGCGGUCCUUAAUACUAUAUUUUAUUACGAAGGUAGUAAAUCCGGUCCCUAAAGAAAGUAGUGACUGGUCCCAAAUUAUAAUUGAGGGACAUUGAGCGUGACACUGUACCGCCAAAUCCAAUACCAAAAUAUUAAAAAAAUAUUAUUUUAUGAAAAAUCAAGCGCCAAAACUAAUAUAUUGAAAUAAAAAAUUUUAAAAAGUCAAGAAACUCUCUGUAUUCUAAAACACAAGUCGCGAACAUAAGCUCUGCCCUAGUUUCUGCGCGCCAAGCUCUGCCCAGUUUCCGCCAAGCUCUGCCUGUCGCCUUUACUGUGUUUUCUCAAAAUACAAGUUGUGAAUCUGGUGGUGUGUGAAUUUGCCCAAGUUUCCAUCUCGCUCGUUGAGAAUCCGUGAAACUCUCUGUAUUCUGAUACACAAGUCGCGCCAUAAGCUCAGCCCUAGUUUCCGCCAAGCUCUGCCCGUCGCUUUUACUGUGUUUUCUCAAAACACAAGUUGUGAAUCUGGUGGUGUGUGAAUUUGCCCAAGUUUCCAUCUUGCUCGUUGAGAAUCCGUGGUAUGCCCCUUCUUUCAAGUUGCUCUUUUCGCUGAUUGCUUCGCUUAUUCGAGUUCUUCGAUCUUCUUUUUCUUCUCCAACAUAAAAAAUUGGGUAAGGUUUCAUAUUUUGGUAUUUUUUUUCUUUUACAAAAUCAGUGAAAAGAUUAUUGGGUUGGGAUUCCUAGUUUGAUAAUUUAAUUUUCUGAAGUUUAUAUAAAAUUGUGAUUCGUUAUCCUCAGCGGCAGAUUUUAAUUGCCUUCUUUUGCUUCGUUGAUGUGUGUUUCUGCCUUCGCCAUGGGUUAACUAAUCCCUGUAACUAGCAGUCUUGUUUGUGUGCUAUAGAAGAGUGCCGAAAGCACCUUCUUGAAUUGCUAAUUGUGUUUUGUGAAAAGCUGGUGCAUAAGUUGAGAUGGAAAGCUCAAACAAGGAACUCUUAUUAAUCGCAAUGAAUGAGAUGAAAGCCUGGUACAUAAGUUGAACAUUAGGCGUUUAGUUAUAUAGGUGGCUUGUAGAAAAAUAUUGUGUAAAACAUCUUUGUUCAUUACUUGGAUUGAGUGGCAAUUUCAAAUUACUGCAAUUUUGGUGUUCUGGACUAGUGGAUUCCAUACGCAUUUGUUGUGAUCAAAUGGCUAUUAGAUAUCCGACUCCUAUGUUUUUUUUUCGAGUUUGGUAUUUUGUUUGCUUGGACAGUUACAAUCCUAGUUGUAUAUCUAAAUGUUUUAUGUUGCACUUUUGUUUGUUUGGAUGUGUUCUAAUUUGCUAUGACAUUGCUGAGUAUAAUGGUUAGGACACUUUAUCCUUAUUGGUCCAAAAUAUCUGAUCUUUUUUCUUAAAUGGCAAAAUUGUUUUUGCUCAGGCAAUAUUGUAUUGUUGUGAUAUCUCAAGUUUGAUUUUACAUGUAUUCGUCUAAUUGUUUCACUUUAGAAUGUUUAAUUGUGUCAUCAAAUGUUUUUAUAUCAAACACUGGAGUACAAAUAAAAUUAGGCCAAGGUAGGCUAAUCUUAAAAAGACGAGAAAGAAUUUAGCUUAAGAGAUGUUGGGUUUCAUGAAUGAGAAUAUAUAAUAGCUUAUAAAUUGACCUACAAUUGAGAAGUAGGUGAUGUUUUAAUGUCAAGAGUGAUUUUCAUGUAUUAUACUAUGUGAUAUUGAAUUGUUGUUUUAGAUUGUCUAUUUGUCUCUGGAGUGAUGUGAAUAACCGUGUAAAGGUAUUCAACAGUUUAGUAUCAAGCCAUGAACAUUCCUUAGCAUGUUGAGUCUAUUGUAAGGAUCUCUACCCUCCCUUAAAUGCAUUCUGAUCAACUAAAUUAGAAAGCGAGGGCUAUCGAUCAGUAGAGUCCAAUUACAUUGACCUUAAUUUUGAUCUGAGCACACUAAUUUGAUGUGGAAUAAAUCAGAUUCAGGUCCUGUAUUUGUACACCACUCAAAUGAAAGAAGAGAGGAUGUACCUUCAUAAAAUCCUGACAUUGGAACACACUUUCCACAAAUAGUUGGAGAGCUCUAAGAACAUUCUUACCUUUAUGGUGAAAAUGGAGUAAUUUGUAGUGACCAUUUAUCUGGCUUCACCACCAUUUGUCUCUGGUGUGUAGUGAAUAAUUGUGUAAAGUUAUUCAAUAGUUUAGUAUCAAGCCAUUAAAAAUAGCUACUCUAGGGACAUUGCUUAGCAUCUUGAGACUAUUCUUUCUCCAUUUCAUACCAAGUCUUGAGAAUCCAGUUGUGUGCAUUUGAUCGGAACAAGUAGUGUGCAUCGUAGUAUUUUUCUUAUCUUUUAUCUUUAUUUAAUUUAACUUUUAUUUACUCUCCAAGGUUAUGGCACCUAGUAAGUAAUGGAUGCAACUUGUUGAUAAUCGGCUCGAUAAAGCCUACUUAAUCGGAGUGCAACAGUUUUUGGAUUAUGCUUUUCAGAAAACAGGAGAAGAAUAUGAGAUACGAUGACCAUGUAUCAAAUGUUGUAAUACAACUUUAGGAACUCGUAAGACAGUUGAGACACAUUUGCAUGUAUACGGAAUAAUUCAAAAUUAUACUUUUUGGUAUCAUCACGGAAAAAAUUUAGAUGAGCCACUGUCACAAUCGGAAGACGAAGAUGGUGAUGAACUAGAAGAAUAUGAAAGUGAAGAUGAAGUACAAGAACUAUUGAGAGAUAUGUAUCCUAAUAUUGAUGGAAGAACCGUGCACACUGAUUGUGAUAAUUUAAUUGAGGAGGAACCAAAUAUUGAAGCAAAAAAUUUUGAAGGAUUUCGAGCAGCCACUGUACCAAAAUUCAAAAGCUUCAAAGCUUACCUUUUUGAUUAAAUUGCUUCACAUCAAAAGCAUGGGUCGUUGGAGUAAUGAGUCAUUUACAAUGUUAUUGAAAAUGUUAAAAGAGGAGUUGUUACCUGAUGGCGCCAAUUUGCCAAAAUCAUAUUAUGAGGCAAAGAAGAUAAUUCAAGACCUUGGCCAUUCCUACAACAAAAUUGAUGCUUGUACUAAUGAUUGCAUGUUAUACUGGAAGGAGGAUAGCUUACUUGAUUCUUGCAAAGUUUGUGGUGCGUCUAGAUGGAAAAUAGAUAGAUAUAGCGGGGAAACAAGGAAUAAAAAAGGUAAGAAGAUAGCAGCAAAGACUUUACGCUAUUUUCCAUUAAAGCCUAGGCUUCAGAGGUUGUUUAUGUCUACAAAGACAUCUAGUUUAAUGACAUGGAAUGCGGAUAAAAGAGUUGAUGAUGGAAUAAUGAGGCACCCAGCUGAUUCAAUGGCGUGGAAGUCGUUUGAUGAACUUCAUCCUUCAUUUGCGGUUGAGCCUCGUAAUGUUCGACUUGGACUUGCUAGUGAUGGAUUUCAGCCAUUUCGGAAUUCAAAAACCUCAUAUAGCAUUUAGCCUGUGGUUCUUAUUCCUUAUAAUUUACCACCUUGGUUGUGUAUGAAACAAGAAAAUUUUAUUUUGUCAAUGCUUAUUCCAGGUCCAUAGUCUAGGCGAUGCUAUUGAUACAUAUCUUCAACCUUUAAUAGAGGAAUUGAAGGAGUUGUGGGAAGUUAGCAUCGUGGAAUGAUAUUAAGGAAGAAAAACUGAAUCAUAUGUGGGCAGCUAUUGAGGUAAGCAAGAUAUUUAUACAGUGAAGAUGCACAUCAUUUAGUUGAAUACAUGUGUUCCUAUUUGUUCCUUUAGUUGAAUAGUUUAAAUCAGCAAUUAAUUUAACUAGACUGCUUGAACGUCAUGCGAUAAUAACUCCUCAUUAGAGAAUUGGAUGCCCAAUUUAUUUAGAAACACAUUGCUUUUUUACCCCUAUUUAGAAACAGAUUCAGUUGCUUGUCUGUUUUUACCCCUAUUUAGAAACACAUUGCUUGUCUGUGUAAGAAGUGCAUACAUAAGGUACAAUCACACGCACAUUAGCCAUGAAAAUUGACCACACUGUCCAGAAGUACAAACUGGGCAGCUUCCCUUGCUUGAUGUCUUUCUAUUUUUGUUCCAGCAUAUCCUCCAGUUUUAUUAUUAAGUAGCUCAAUGUAUCUUGAUCAACCUGCUAUCCAUACUGUAUAUAUGUUUAGUAUACACAUAUGGCAAUAGAUUUGGCCUCGUAGAAUCACACACACAUGAAGAUAUUUACAUGAUAUUUCUGUUGCGUGUGGUGCUUGUCCUCCAAAUUUUAGAGGUGAUCCUUGCUUGUACCCUUGAUAUCUCAGCAAUACCUAUGGAUGUGAAGCAUACUGAUCAACUGACAUAUAUAUGUGAUUUCUUUUGUGAUGAAUCUGUGCAUAAUGUGUAUGAUGUGGUUAUAGAUGGUGCACGGGACGUAAUCAGAUUGUUUGCUAUACUUCCAUAUGAGUUGGCAGACCAUAUCAUUGCCAAUAUUAAGCCUCCAAUGAUUAGGGAUGAUCUUAUCGAAUGCUGGGAUUGCUAUGGAUGGCUUAAUUUUGCAACAGAUUGUGAUUAAAUGCUGGACAUGUCCAGUUAUACCAAGGUUGAAGCCUAUUUUUCCAUAUGAGUUGGCAGACCAUAUCAUUGCCAAUAUUAACCCGCCAAUGAUUAGAAAUGAAGAAGGUGAUGUGUUAUAUGCAAGGGGUAAGGAGAUUCAGGAGUCUACAAAUAUUGAGGCAGAAGCAGUAGCUAUUCUGGAGGCUUUACGCUAUUGUGUUCAACAUGGAUACAAUAACAUCUUGGUGCAAACUGACUCUUUGUUAAUGAAGAAUGUUGUGGAAGGUACAUGGACUGCACCUUGGGCAGUAGUUGCACAUGUGGAGGAAAUUAGGGAGAUAAUGAGGGGCUGCAAUAGUACAAUAUCCCAUAUCAUGCUCUCAUCCUUCAUGCUUGUGCUUAUCUGUAUAAUUUUUGGAGAAUGUUACUGAUUCAACUGUUACUUGCUGUAGAGAAACAGUUCAAACUAUAUUAUAUGUUAAUUGCUUUAUAACUGUUGGAGAGUUGCUCCUAUCAUAUGAUUAUGAGUAGUUACUAAAAUUGAACUAAUUCAUUAACUCAACCCAUGUUUUGAUUAUUGUAGGAUAAAUUUGAGAGUGUUGACAUGAAUGAUCAUCGUGAUCAUAUCUUCGCAUGGAUGAAAGAGUUAUGGAACAAAUGGAGAGGACACUUGCAUGCAAAAAUAUGUGACAGAUAAGCCAAUCCAACAAGCUCUUAAGAAUAUUCCAAAUGGAGUAGACAAGAAAGAAUGAGAGUGGUUAGUAAAGGAAUAUUUUUCUUCAGAAAGUUUUCAGGUAUGCCUAGUGAUUUAAUAAUCUAUUUGAGUUAUCGAAUUAUGUGUUUCGAUGUGUAGUUUCAGUUUAAGAAUCACGACUCAUGCACCAUAACAGGGGAAAUGGAAAAGUUAGAUCAACAGAAUGAAUUCGAACUAUGAAACUAAAACAAAGGCAAAAACCAAUAGUGAGAAACAAACUAAGAUGGUCAAGAGGGAGGAUUAAAGGGAAGGUCUAUGUUCUGCUCUGUUUUAAGUUCUUAUUUCUCUGUUCAUCCACGCUUCUGAUCUUCUCUUCUUUUUCAGUUCUUAUUUCUUUGUUCUUGCUCUGCCCUGUUUUCUCUGUUCACUUGAUAUCCCUGGAGGCUAAUUUUAUUCUGAAGCUUUUUAGAAGCAACUUAUGUUUAAGUUUAUUAAAUUUCUUACAUUUAAUCUUAAUGUUUCACAAAUAUAGGCGAGAAGCAACAGGAAUGCGGCAAAUCAAGCUAAGUUGAAGAUGCUUCAUCAUAUUGGUAGAAAGCCUAUUCGUGAGAUCAUUUAUCAAAAGGUAUUAUCAUAAAAUUUCUAUUUUCCCAAGAAAAUAUUUACGAGCUAUUCUUUGACAUGUUUGCCUUUGAUGAUGUAAAGGGCGGAAAAGAUGGCAACCCACCGGAUUUGGCAACAAUUUUUUUUGAGACCCGUAAGAAAGAUAACAAGCUUGAUGAACCUGAAGCAAUUGAAAAACAUGUAUGUUUGGAAAAUUGAAUAUGUAAAUUACUUGAAAUUAUGGUGGAUUCUGAUUUUAAAUGUUUUUUUAUAUAUUUUGUAGGCUCAAAUCGACGAAAUAGUUCAAGCAGAUCCAUCUCUACCUAGCAUAGAGAUUGUAGAAAAAUGUUGUGGACCUCAAACUCGUAGCCAUGUGUUUGGCUUUGGGGGUGGAGUGAAGGCAAAAGACUUGAAAGGUGGAACUUCUUCAAAGGCUGAAUUACUGUCUGCACUACGUUCAACUCGAGAAGAAAAUAAAUCUUUGAAUGAGGAAAACAAAUCCUUGAAUGAGCGCUUGUCUACCUUAAAAGAUGUGAUGAAAAAAAUGAGGAAAAUGAGAGAGUACUUUGCUGCUCAACAAUCACAUGUCCCGCUUACAACGACAUCGCCCAUUUCAACUGAAUGACCUCUGUUUUUGUCUGCUGACCAAGUUAGUAACAAUAUACCCAACUUUUAUUUUUUAUUCAUGAUUUGCUUAUAGUCAAUUUCUAUAUUACAUAUUUGUGCCUCCAGAAAGUUUUGCACAUGAUGUGCCUCCAAAAAGUUUUCCCUCCUCCUCUGGUACCUUCACAAAGAAAGUUUUGCAUACAUAGUCACAAUUUACCCCUUAACAGAGCGAGCAGUAAUAUUAGACUGCCGGGAAGAUUUCUCUCCAGUUACUGGAGUUUUUGUUCAACGCCCAAUUUCCUUAGCUCGAUCAGACCUUCCUCAACUAAAAAUAUAAAUAGUGAACUAUUAGAAAAUGAAUCAGUCUUUAUAUCAUGUCCUCUGCGGGUAAUCUAUCUGUUCUGUUCGCCAGUGAACUAUCUGUUCUGUUAGCUAGAAGAUGAAUCUGCGAGUGGUUGUGUCAUCGUAUAGUCCCUCAGUGAUAGUUUAUCUAAGUUUAUCUCUUCCAAAGGUUCUGCAAGUUGCUUCCUUUUGUACCUCAGUGAUAGUUUAUCUAAGUUCAACUCUCCCAAAGGUUCUGGAACUCUUAACUCAACUUUGAUGUUGCUUAGUUAUCUUAGACUUGAUUGGGGCUAUAACUGUGACGAGGCACAAGAAUUGUCAUGCUAUACAUUCUGGUAAAUUGCAGCCCCUAUGAACUUGUUAUCGCAACUACUGCAGAUGCUAAUUCUAUCAACUCUUGGUAACCCUCGCAGCCCCUAUGUCACACUCUCUGUAGAAUUGCCUAAGAGAAUGUAUGUAUAGUGUAUCUUGGUAACCCUCAAAGCUGCAACUGUAGAAGGUGGAUAAAUCUUCUCCAUUCCGAACUGCAACCGCUUGGUGCUAUGAUUGCCGGUAAUGAUAGUCUGAUUGAUACCAUCACCAAUCAUCAUUAAAUACUUCUUGUUCUUGGCGAUGGAGACAUACUCCUCGUAUAUACCAGCAGUAAUGUAUAUUAGAAAAUAGCUUGAAGUGGACAUGGAAUUGUUUGGAGCAGUAGCAACAGCAUCAGUUAUGGUGCUGAAAUUCCCACUUCCGUCCUGGUUUACUAUCACGUCCCUCACCAGAACCUGGUCAUCAUCAUCUUGGUGCUGGAGUAGCUUUCUCCUACUAACAGUCUCCAAAAUUGCUUGGUUUUGUGCAGACAUUUUUAAUGGAAAGUGACCAUUUUGGAAGGCUAGCUGUUUUUGGUUUUGUUGCUUAGUUUCUUCUGUGUGCCCUUUGACAUUUAAACUGAAUGCAUAGUCUUUUCAGCUGAUAAUUCUUCUAUUCAAAAGGAACCGGAAAAAAAAGAGAGUAGAAAAUGAGAGUUAAAAAUGAUUUACGUUUUAUUCUCUAUACAAAGUGUCCAAACAAAUAACCUAUAAGCAAGAGCGUGCUUCAUUUUGCACUGGAACAGAAGCAUACUAUGUCGUUGUUGGUCUCUUGAAUGGUAAAUCUCGCAUUGUCGUACCGGGAUUUAUCAAACCAAAGUAAGAUUAACCAUCCCAAAGCUUUUCUAAUUAAUUUUUUUUAAUAUUGUUAUAGCCUUGUUGAUGUUGCUGAUGUUACCUUGUGAAUUUAGACUGCUUUUGGGAUAAGCGAUUUAACUAUUGCUCAUAUAAAAUUAUAUAUGUUAUUUUACCAAUAGUUAUUUAUUAUUUUAAAAACUUUUGUACUUGCAGGUUUUGAAGAUUGAAGCUACAAGUCAAGAUGCAAGUUUAGAAGAUGCACAAGCUAUUAUUAUUUUACUAAAAAUGUUAUGCAAAACUUGAUAUCAUAGUCUAGCUCAGGAUGUUAGCUAAGUUUUUUUUUUGUUGAGGUGUUGAGAAAACAUAGAAAGUAACAUCAUCAUGGGAUUUGAACUUGAUAUAUUAUCUUUUUAUAUCUGGAUUAUUCAAUACCAAUUUGAUAUUUAUUGAUAAAAAUUACUUUUUGUUGCAUUGAGCUUUUAGGAUUACUCAUGGUUAUUAAAUAUUAAUAGAUCAUGAAUAUGAUCGCUAAAUUACAAAAUUAUUUUAAAUAGGGACUUCGUCUCUAAACAUAAUCUAGAAACAGUAUAAGGUUGGUCAGGAAAAUGGUUUAGCGACCGGAUGUUUUGUCGGUCUCUAAUAGAUAAUUUAGGACCAGUUGGAGUUGGUCGCUAAAACGAUUUAACAAAGGGAAUAUAUAUAUUUUUCAUCGCCUAUUAGGGACGAGAAAUGUAGUCUCUAAAAGUUAUUCCCGACCAGGUUUUCUGUUAAAAGACAAUUUAGGACCAGAUACAGUUGGUCGCUACAAAGAUUUCAUGACGGGAAUAAAUAUUUUUUCAUCGCCUACUAGGGACGAGAAAUGUGGUCUCUAAAAGUAUUUCACGACCGAUUUUUUUGUCCGUCUCUAAAGUGAUUUAACGACCAGGUAUUAAGACCCGUCGUUAUUGACAUUUAGCGACGGAGGCUAUUACGACGGGUUACGACCAUACUUUUCCCUUCGUAAUUUACCGUUUUAGGACCAUAUUUUAACUUUUAGGGACCAGAUUUUCCUUCCUUAAAGGCCGUUUUUCUUGUAGUGAAUUAUUCCAAUUGGAGACUCUAACUUUAAUAAAAUAAUCCCGUUUCGAUUGUCACUUUAAUUGGAAAAAACUCCCCUAUUCCCCUUCGGGUGGUAGAAAAAGGAGGUGUGACAGUUCUAGCGACUCUAUUGGGGAAAAGAACCCAAAACCUCAGGUUCUGAGUUCAAAAUUCGAGCUUAGAAUAACUGUUAUAGUUGACUUUUAUUUAUUAUCAGAUUUUUAAAUGUUUGAGCCUAAUGUGCUAAUGCUUUUUAACGCUUUGAUAUUGUUUGGACUGUAUAUAAAUUGUUACGAAACUCUCCUCUCUCUGAGUCUUUUAAAUCAUCUGGGAAUGGUGCACUUCGUAUGACUUCUCUUCUGUUAGAGUUAUAUCCCAAUUUUAGAACGAGGUUCAGGCAAGUUGCAAAGCUGGUGAAGCUUAUGUAUUCCGGUACUCUGCCCCCCNNNNNNNNNNNNNNNNNNNNNNNNNGGCUCGAGCUGUCCGCUCGGGUAAGCAAGGUCUAGAACAAAUAAACCUAGGUUUUUAAACCUAGAAUAACAUAGCCUCAUGCCAGAUCCCUAGUAGGAACGUUUGUUGCAUCACGUGCAUUUGACUUAGGGGACUCAAUAUAGGGGUUGGGUCCGUCUAUGACAAGUGUACCCAAAAAUAAAAGACCAUCUUGAUGCAUCCUAUGUGCUACAUGUUGCAUUUGUUCAAAUGGUAAAAGGGUCAUUUGGCAGACCAAUGAUGGCUGAGAGUAAAUGAGAAAAAGAGAGGGUGAAGUGUGGAAAUAAAGCAAGUGCGGUCAAGUUAUGUUUUCUGUCACAUUUUUAAUAAGAAAAAGAUAACAAAAAAAUGAAAAAUUCAAAAACGUUUUUGCACUUUUUCAUCAUUUUUCGAAAAUAAAAAAAUAAAAAAAAAACGAGAAGAAAUUCAAAAAGAGUCUACAUGUUUCAUAAUUUUUUUUAAAAAAAAGACAAAAAAUAUAUUUUCUCUAAGUUAUUUGUUAAUUUUAUUUCCCACCCGUAUCCAAUCUUUCCGAACUACGCAUACCUGAUUCUCGUCUUUCGGGGUGUGAUACGUAGACAACCCAUUUAGGGUCCGGUCUUCCUAGUGAAUCUUAGGUUCUUGACUUUGCGGGGUCUUAGCCAAAUUUGCACUUCUAGCCACCUUUUGGCCACAUAAGCCAUUUGCAAAAUAGCCUCAAUCAUGUCUUGUAUGUGUCAAACAGGAAGUGUUAUUGUCUCACAUAGUGUUAUAGGUCUUUAACUUUAUUUGGUCUUAAUUUUCUCAUACAGGUGUGGGUCUACUUACCGGAGUUUGAGCAUGACAUACACCCCGGGACCAUCCAAGCAGGAUCGAUCAUUCAGGAGUUGCUUAAGGAGAUUUUUUUUUUUAUGUUUGGAGUUUAUUUUUCUUUUUAUGUUGUCUUUUACCUUCUAGUUUUGUACAGUAAUGUCGAGUCUUUUGUUAUUGUACUUUUUUUUUGUAAUUGAAAAAUGUAUUAUAAAUCAAAAAUCCAAAAAAAGAGAUUUUGCGUUUUUAUAUUUCCAUUAGAAGUUUCUUUAGAAAUACUACUCCUAGAAAGAAUUUUCUUUUAGUACCUCUUUAAAAGUUUUCUUUAAGAUGUUAAUUCCAAAAAUCCAAAAAAGAUUUUCUCUUAAGGUUCUCCAUUGGCAAAUAUAUAAAUAUAUAUACAUAUAUAAUAUUCUUUUUAUGUUCACUAGAACUUUAGGAUAUUAUACAUAGACAAAAAAAUAUACUUUAUCUUUUGUUUAUCUUUAGAGUUUCUUCCUUAGGUAAUCAAAAACUGAAAUCCAAAAAUAUUUUUAUGUUGUCCAUUUCUCAUUUCGAAAUCUUUCUUCAGAGAUAUAAAACGAAGAUUCGAAAUAUUUUUCUUUGGUUUAUUCUUUAGAUUUCCUUUUUAAAAAAAGAAGAAGAAAAAAAAUCAAAAAUAUUUUUCUUUUCUAGGGCUUUUCCUUAAUAAUUUCCCAUAGAUUAUUUGUUUCAAAAAUAAAAAAGGAGAAAAAAAUAUACGCUCGUUAAGCUUGAGUUUAGAAUAAGUUAUAGAACAUUAAGUCUUGAAAUUUUUUUAAAAAAGGGACUUGCUUCUUUUAUUUAUCUUUUCUCAUGAUAGUAGUCAUUAAGGUAAAAAAAAAGAAAAAAAAGAAUAAGAAAAGAAAAAAAAAGAGAACGUUAGUUUGUUUACUUUAUUGGCGAUCUUCCCGAACUACGCAAAGAUCUGAUUUAUGCGGCGUCAUGAUACGUAGACAACCUACAUUGGGUUCGAUCGAAUCAUUUUUUAUUAUUAUUAAAAGAAAAAGAAAAAGAAAAAAAAGAAAAAGAAGAGAGAGGUGAAACUAUGGGAUGUGAGAAAUGAGAGGAAAGAAAAUAGUGAUAAUUAGAAGAAAAAAGAGGAAGGAAAAUGAGCAAGCCAAGAAGUGCUAGAAAAGAAGGAAAAGAGAAGAUUGAAAUGAAUAAAUUGGGAUGAUUCCAAGUGACCUUGUGGCCCUCGAAGUCAUUUUUGAACCGUUAAUUGUUGCUAGGUGCAUUGCACACAAUGUGAUAUUUGCAGCUGUUAAAUGCCCUAACGCUAAUGUGGUGACCUCAUUUUGUUCGUUUUUAUUAUCUCCAUUGAGCAGAAGAGUGGUUGGUUUGUGGUUCUUAAACUGGUAACUCUUCCAUACAACACAAGGUCAAAGAGAAAGGUAGCCAUGGCUAGCAAAAACUUGGACUCAAGAUUUGUUGACCUAUCGAUGGAGCCUGUGGAGUCGGGGUCUGAAUUGAAAGGGGAGGUCCAAAUGUUGAAACAACAGAUGACAGAAAUGUAUCAGUCUUGGAUCAGGGGGCAUCCUCCACCUUCAUUCCCCCUUAACUACACUGAAAACCUGGCAACUAUCCCACCACUAUCAUAAAUCCAGAUUCCCACUGCUGCUGAUAUCACCCCACAACCUUUUCACACUCUACCCACCAAAACCACCCCAUAUCCUGCUCCUUUGUCCACUCAUACUCUUCUAGCUCCUUCUCCAGCUACUUUUCCUCGAUCCUCUAACGAGUCUGUUUUCAAAGUCCCCGAUUCCCAACACUAUGCUCCAGAACCAACUUUCAAAGUCUCGGAUCCAUACUCUCAUGCUACUCAUUUUGAGCCUCCCGGUGAAGCUGAAAAGCCUGCUAAGACAGUGGAGCAGGAUGAGAUAUCCAGGAAGGUGAAAAUAUUAUAGCAGUCUUUAAGAAACAUGCAAGGGAUAGGGAGCCACAUGAGCGUGGCUUACAAAGAUUUGUGCUUGUUUCCUGACAUCCAAUUACCUGCUGGGUUUAAGAUGCCAAAAUUUUAUUUGUAUGACGGACAUGGAGAUCCCGUGGCCCAUUUGAGAGGAUACUGCAGUAAGAUGAGAGGCUCCAGUGGGAAAGACAAAUUGUUGAUGGCAUAUUUCAAUCAGAGUCUAAGUGGGGCAACUCUGGAUUGGUACACCCGCUAAGACGCUAGCAGGUGGUACACAUGGGACGAUAUGGCUCAGGCCUUUGCCCGGCACUUUCAGUACAAUAAAGAAAUUUUCCCGAAUUGCAUGUCCCUCACCAAGAUAGAAAAGAAGCCUAUUGAAAGCUUUAGUGAAUACGGGCUCAGAUGGAAAGAGCAAGCUGCCAGAGUCAAUCCCCUGAUGGACGAAAACGAGAUGGUCGAAUACUUUCUUCAAGCUCAAGAGCCAACUUACUUUGGGCAUUUGAUCUCGGCUGUGGGUAGGCCUUUUAAUGAUGUGGUAAAAAUGGGAGAAAUGGUAGAAGAUGGGCUGAAGUCGAGCAAGAUCAUGAGCUAUUCUUCUUUAAAAGCCACAACACAAGAAAUUCAGAACGACACAGGAAGCUUGCUGGCUCAGAAGGAACAUGAUGAUGUUGCCAUGGUUGUUUUAGAGUCACGACAUGGUCCAAAGGGUCUGCCUCACCAAUAUACUCAGCCUCAACCCCAACCGCAAACCUAUCCCCGAGCUCCGCAUAAACCACCUCAGUAUUAUCCUCUGAACAAUGUACGGUCAUCUAUCCAACCACCGGGUCACUCCUUAUGGCGAGCGCCCGCACCGCAUAAUGCACUCUUCCCUUCAUAACAUUUUCGAGCACCCAACAAGCCUAGAAAAUUGGGGAAGGGAGGAAAAAAGGCAAAGAAAUAGUUUCAUGCCAAUCGGGGAGUCCUACACAAACUGUUUGAAAAGUUAAAACAUUCUGCCUGAUUGAGCCGCUCCUUGGCUAUACUCCAGACCCAUAUGCAAAAGGUUUUGAUCCUAUUGUAUGGUGCAUGUACCACUCUAACAUCCAAGGGCAUAGCAUUGAAGAUUGUCGUGCUUUGAAAAGAGAAAUAGAAAGAAUGAUUCAAGAAGGGGUAAUUGUGAUCAAGGACAGUGACAAGGAGCAUGCGAAUCCUCUUGGGAACUUGCUGGCUAAAGUCAAUGAUAUUGAAGUUGGUAAUCGUGUUGGAAAUAUAGAUGUGGAACCCAGUAGCUAAGAUACCGUGCUUGGUAAUUGGAAAGACGCUCCAUUACUUGGUUAGCCAGGGAGGAGUUUUGGUGGUUUAUUUUGUUGUCAUUUCUAUUGUCCGGGUUAUUUUUAGGGUUGUAAUCGGGAUAUUGUCUUGUGACUCAAACCCUUCUAUCCUUUUAUUUUGCCUAGCUUGUUUACUCGUAGUAGCUCCUUUAGUGUUGUCUGGUUUUCUUCCAGGGUUGUAACCCCAUCUUAUUACUUGUUUUGUUGUCCAAAUCCUUUCACCAUCUGUCUAAUGCAAUUUCCUGUUUUUUGUUUUUUCUAGUCAGUGUUUGUUUUGUUCUCUCCUUUUAUAGUUCUUUUCCUGCUGACUCUAGUGACAUGACAUGCACACGUAAUUCUCAGCCUGAUCUUAAAAGUUAGUUCAGUCAUGAAGCAAUGAAACAAUGUUGAAGAUGAUAGGGACAUUUGAGGGAAAUAAGUAAAGGUAUUUUGAGAUCACUUCAAGCCCGAAUUGUGGGAAACAGGGGCCGAUAUAACAUAAAGAAACACUAUUGAAACGCAUCCUACCGCAUCAGAUCGAACCUAAAGGAAUGUUUGCCCCAAAUUGGCAGGGGCCGUUCAUGGUAACAAGAGUGUUAUCCAAUGGUGCUUUAUAUUUAAUAGAUGUAGAAGGAAAAUGUGUGGAUAUGGUUAUCAAUUCUGAUACAGUCAAAAGAUAUUAUAUAUGACUUCUUUGGUUUGUUUAAUUAUGUUUUUGUAUUUGGCAUGCUUUGAAGAUUGGAAUGCCGAAGGCAUUUUAUUUUGCUAUCUAAACACUUUAUCCUUUGUUACCCCUUUGAGCCUUAUUUAUUUUCUUUCAUAUCCCUCUUUUGGAAUCAGAAGCAGAGUUUAGAAAUAUGAUACAGAAAAAAAGGAGAGAAAAGAAAAAAAAGAAGAGAAAAAGAGAAAGAAAAAAUGGGAAAACAGUAAAGAAAAGAAAAGAAAAGAAAAAGAGAGAAAAAGAAAAAAAAUGAGAAAAGUACAAAAACAAAGCAAUUCCUACUUCAUAAACUACGUUCGACCUGAUUCCUUUUAAGGAUACAUAGGCAGCCUCACGGUUCGGUCCCAUCAAAAUAAAAGUCAAAGCCCCCAAGCAAGGAAACUGGGGCAGAAGUUGCGGUUUUGUAAAAGAUCUGAUUCCAAAAGUUGUAAUUUUGAACCUAUUCAGGUCAUUUUGAGCCUUUAUGAUGUCUUUUAUUUCUAACCCCAUCCAAAGCCCACAUUACGGUCCAAAGAAAGACCUUCUGAUCAAUAUUGGAGAGUGCCAAUUCGAGCAAGAUAGAGGUAUGACUCGCAUCAGGAGCAACACUCCGUGGUACACAAGGAAAACAAAAAUGAGAGAGUCUUAUCGGUGAAAACCUUCACAGGAACCAUAAGGUGACGGUAAGUUGAAAGAAAGAACAAAAUGAGAGAGGCUUGAUGGUGAAAAUCCUUUGGGCACUACAAGUCAAAUAAGGAUCGUGAAUCAGAUAGGAUAAUCGGAGCAUUGAAGCCUAGUUUCAUGACUCAGAGGUACAACAAGAGUUGAACAUUAGACUUGCUUGAUAGACUAGGGCACUUAAUCCAAAUGUGCAUGUCAUGGUCAUUAGAGUUGGUAUCAUUAUCUGAUAAGUUUCUACUUUGUACUUUUCUUGUUAGGAAUCAUCUCUUUCCAUUGUCAUUUACUCUGUUCCUUUUGUUUUGUUUACAUCUUCCUGAGUCGGUUUGGUUAGAACAAGUGAGAAAUGACUUCAAAAUUUGCUACCAGCUUUCCAAUUGCACAAAUGGAUGUCUGGCUAGCACAUCAAAGCGACAUAAGUCAGGAAAGAGUAGUAGGCGCACUGAGUUGGCAACAAUCAAUGUGUUUUGGGAUUCAUGUAAAAUACAAAGGUUCGGUAUAGGUCAAUUCAUGAGCAAAAUGCAACAGAUAGAAGGUAUUGAGUAUGAAUGUAUCAAAGGUAUUAUCUGUGAUAAGGUGACAGAGAAAGUGGUUAGUCAAUAAACAAGUAAUGUCUUUCAAGUUGAAAUCAAAGUUAUCAUAGCAAGUGAAGGAGCAAUCGCCCUCAAAGUCAAGGCCACAAACCAACCACCAUGUUUAAACUCACAAGUUUUCUUUGUCUGAAACAGGGAUAGGAUGAAAGCUAUAUUCAUAUCAAAGCAUGGAAGCUUGAAUUUUUCAGGUGUAAUGCCGAGUUCUGCUUAUCCAAAGGCUAUUGAGAAGAUCACACAUCACCCCUAGGAGCCUCACUUCCUAACAUGGGUCUUUCAAGUUAUGUUUCUUUUUAGGAGACGCACUUCCUACAUUGAGUUUUCCCCUAGGAAACACACUUCCUGGUUUGAAUCAUUUAAGUUUUAUCCCUAGGAGACGCACUUCGUAGUCUGGGUCUUUCAAGUUAUAUUUUAUUUUAGGAGACACACUUUCUAAAUUGAGAUUUUACCCCUAGGAAACACACUUCCUAGUUUGGGUCAUUUAAGUUCAUUCAUAGGAGACGCACUUCCUAAAUUGAGAUUUUACGCCUAGGAAAUGCACUUCCUAGUUUGGGUCAUUUAAGUUCAUUCAUAGGAGACACACUUCCUAGCUUGAGUCAUUGAAGUUUCACCCCUAGGAGACGCACUUUCUAGUUUGGUUCAUUCAAGUUUCACCCCUAGGAGACGCACUUCCUAGUUUGGGUCUUUCAGGUUAUAUUUUUGUUUUAGGAGACGCACUUCCUAAAUAGAUAGUUCAUUCCUAGGAAACGCACUUCCUAGUUUGGAGUCAUUGAAGUUUCAACCUUAGGAGACGCACUUCCUAGUGUGAGUCAUACAAGUUUUACUCAUAGGAGACACACUUCCUAGUGUGAGUCAUACAAUCUUUACCCCCUAGGAGACGCACUUUCUAGUUUGGUUCAUUCAAGUUUCACCCGUAGGAGACGCACUUCCUGAUCUGGCUCUUUCAGGUUUUAUUUUUAGCGGACGCAUUUGCUUGUCAAAGUUUCUUGGUCUUACUCACAGGAGAUGCACAUCCUAGUCGAAUCUCUAGUUUACUUUCAUCAUUGCAUCAAUAGAAUAAGUGGUUUACAAUUUUGCUAACAACUCAAAAAUCUUCUGAGUGCAAACUGGAGCAGAAAAUUUUGUUUGUUUUGUUGUUUUGAUUGCAGGCACUCACCUGGAGAACAAGGGAAUUUGUUUCGGAAUUAUCUCAAGUUUCAAGGGAAAGCGGUUUCGAAUGAAGACGGGUCAAGUUCAGCAAUCAGGCGCCCACCUGGAGAACAAGGAAAGAUAGUUCAAGUUUCAAGGGAAAGCAGUUUCGAAGGAAGACAGUUCAAGUUCAGCAAUCAGGUGCCCACCUGGAGAACAAGGGGAAACAUUUCAAGUUUCAAAGGAAAGCAAUCCAUGUUUCAAAGGAAGAUAGUUCAAGUUUUGGCAAUCAGACGCCCACCUGGAAAACAAGGGAACUCACUUCAGAAUGCAAUUCAAGUCAGCAACAAAGGAAGCUCACCUGGAGAGUACGAGUCAACAUCUCAAGAUGCACCACAGAGCUGCAAACACUCAAGAUCAAGCUUCAGAAGACUUAUAGAUAGGAAUCUUGUAACUCAUAGUUGAUAGGCUUAGUUAGUCUUUUUAAUUUUUUUGAUUUUGAUGUUACAUCAGGACCGCGGACCGGAACCUCGACGGAACGACACCUUGAUCGGCUCUCUACCUCGGUAUACUCCAUCAUCUCACUCACUUCUGAACUACCUGUGGCCUGAUUUAUUUAUAGCCAAGGAUAUGUAGGCGGCUCAGAUACCAGGGCUCGGUCACAUUCUCCAUUCUCUUAAUUUUGGUCUCCCGAAAUAAGGGUCGGGUCAAAAAACCUGUCUAAUCGUUCUUUGUCUAAAAAUACUUCGUGUUUCUAGUCAAAGAGGGGUAACUGUAGACAUGUGAUUUUUGACCCUCCCCAAGAUUUUAUACAUUUUUGUAUUUAAAUAUUUAGUUUAGGUCUAAUAUAAUUAUUUUAACUAGUUCUGACUCUUUUACUUUAUUUUAUCACAAAAUGAAAAUUACAAAAAUAUUUCUUCUUUUUAGUUAGUUUUAGUUUAUAUACCUUUCGUAAAACUAAAAAAAAUACAAUAAUAGUACCUUAUUUUUAUUUUAAUAUGAUAUUUAAAAAUACCAAAAAGAUAGUUUUGCCUUAUUUUAAUAGUUAUUUUCUUUAAGUAAGAUUAAUUAGUAAAUAAAGUAGUAUUUUAGUCUUGUUCACGGAGAAAGAAUAAAAUUUGGGCUCAAACAACCCAUUUUUAAGCUUAAUUUUUUGACCUAGCCCAUAAUUUCUAAGCCCAUAAUUCCUAGACCCAUACCCCUUAACCUACAAAAACUAACCAAGACCUAGACAAUUGGGGGAUCAACCGAAAAAGACAAAAUAGACCUAAGCCUAAAGAGCUGACAGCCGCAAUUCUCAAAAGAAGAGACCCCCCCUCGUGAUCGUCUUCUUCGAAACCCCAUCAGAUUUGUCUUCUUCAACACAAAAAAUGGUGAGCAAUUAAAAACAAGGGAGCCAUUACCCUAGGCUUCAUCUUCUUCAUGGAGAACACCAAAAAACCAUAGAACUUCUACACCCAAACCCGCCGGCCACCCCUGAAGCCGACGACCCCUCACGCCGAACUCCAUCUCUAGCCACCUUCACAAAACCAAUAACCCGCCAGAAAAACACCAUCGCUGCCCGUCUCCACCAGCUACUAUAAUAGUAGCGACGAACAUACCAGACACAUGACCACCACACCCAGAACACCCUAAAAGCCACCUGCUGCUCCAUCAUCCUUCACGCCAAGAACCCGAUAUCCACAGUCACUCACAUGCACAGAAACGAGGAGGAGUGGAAAAUGAGAGGAGAAAAAAAUUCGAGGUUCCAGGUUUUAGUUCCGGUCGAAAAUUUUGUAGGCUUUGUUGUUCUUUCUUGUUGGAUUACAGAAUCAAGGACUAUGUAUUUUUGAUUUCUUUCCACUGUUACAUUGAAGAACUCUUUUAAUGGAGCUUGUGUUUUCCAAGUUUUUGGUUCGAAUUAUCACUUUCUACCAAGUGCCUUGAAGUUCAGAUUUUCGUCGUUUGUUUGUCACUGAAUUUCGCGGCUUGCUUUUCGUGCUUCAACGGUUGUGUUUCAUUUUUAUUUCGCACAUCAAUUGAUUCAAAUUUCAUCUUCAGAUUUGGAUAUUUAUGUCUCUUCUUGAGUAUUUACAAAUUAAAGUUGCUGGUUCGAGCUAUGCC
Molecule: long non-coding RNA, 20334 nt
Filed under: Nicotiana tabacum (common tobacco)
Lineage: Eukaryota; Viridiplantae; Streptophyta; Magnoliopsida; Solanales; Solanaceae
Description: long non-coding RNA (NTAB_LNC017765)
Source: RNAcentral